UACAGAGGGGGCAAGCGUUGUUCGGAAUUACUGGGCGUAAAGGGCGCGUAGGCGGCCUGUUAAGUCGAACGUGAAAUCCCCGGGCUCAACCCGGGAACUGCGUCCGAUACUGGCAGGCUUGAAUCCGGGAGAGGGAUGUGGAAUUCCAGGUGUAGCGGUGAAAUGCGUAGAUAUCUGGAGGAACACCGGUGGCGAAGGCGGCGAUCUGGGUCGAUACUGACGCUGAGGUGCGAAAGCGUGGGGAGCAAACAGG
RNAcentral lists this ribosomal RNA (253 nucleotides) under uncultured bacterium. RNAcentral describes it as "partial 16S ribosomal RNA". It matches the Rfam family "Bacterial small subunit ribosomal RNA", at positions 524 to 776 of the family's 1533-position model. The record is from RNAcentral.